GCAGAUGUAGUACAAUGGUUCGUGCGUCGGCUUCCCAAGCCGAAAAUGCGGGUUCGAUUCCCGUCAUCUGCU
RNAcentral lists this transfer RNA (72 nucleotides) under Oscillospiraceae bacterium. RNAcentral describes it as "tRNA-Gly". It matches the Rfam family "tRNA". From Rfam's summary of the family: Transfer RNA (tRNA) molecules are approximately 80 nucleotides in length. The record is from RNAcentral. Lineage: Bacteria; Bacillati; Bacillota; Clostridia; Eubacteriales; Oscillospiraceae.